GUGGGGAAUUUUGGACAAUGGGCGCAAGCCUGAUCCAGCCAUUCCGCGUGCAGGAUGAAGGCCUUCGGGUUGUAUACUGCUUUUGUACGGAACGAAAAGCCUCUGGUUAAUACCCGGGGGUCAUGACGGUACCGUAAGAAUAAGCACCGGCUAACUACGUGCCAGCAGCCGCGGUAAUACGUAGGGUGCGAGCGUUAAUCGGAAUUACUGGGCGUAAAGCGUGCGCAGGCGGUGAUGUAAGACAGUUGUGAAAUCCCCGGGCUCAACCUGGGAACUGCAUCUGUGACUGCAUUGCUGGAGUGCGGCAGAGGGGGAUGGAAUUCCGCGUGUAGCAGUGAAAUGCGUAGAUAUGCGGAGGAACACCGAUGGCGAAGGCAAUCCCCUGGGCCUGCACUGACGCUCAUGCACGAAAGCGUGGGGAGCAAACAGGAUUAGAAACCCCAGUAGUCC
RNAcentral lists this ribosomal RNA (450 nucleotides) under uncultured bacterium. RNAcentral's name for it is "partial 16S ribosomal RNA". It matches the Rfam family "Bacterial small subunit ribosomal RNA", at positions 354 to 796 of the family's 1533-position model. The record is from RNAcentral.